GUUAGGAAUAUUGGACAAUGGGCGCAAGCCUGAUCCAGCCAUGCCGCGUGAGUGAUGAAGGCCUUCGGGUUGUAAAGCUCUUUAGCCGAUGAUUAUAAUGACUGUAGUCGGAAAAUAAGCCCCGGCUAACUUCGUGCCAGCAGCCGCGGUAAUACGAAGGGGGCGAGCGUUAUUCGGAAUCACUGGGCGUAAAGCGUGCGUAGGCGGCUUUGCAAGUUGGGAGUGAAAGCCCAGGGCUCAACCCUGGAAUUGCUCUCAAAACUGCAAGGCUCGAAUUCGGGAGAGGAGAGCGGAAUUGUCAGUGUAGCAGUGAAAUGCGUAGAUAUUGACAGGAACACCAGUGGCGUAAGCGGCUAUCUGGACCGAUAUUGACGCUGAGGCACGAAAGCGUGGGGAUCAAACAGGAUUAGAAACCCUGGUAGUCC
RNAcentral lists this ribosomal RNA (425 nucleotides) under uncultured bacterium. RNAcentral's name for it is "partial 16S ribosomal RNA". It matches the Rfam family "Bacterial small subunit ribosomal RNA", at positions 354 to 796 of the family's 1533-position model. The record is from RNAcentral.